RNAcentral lists this ribosomal RNA (253 nucleotides) under uncultured bacterium. Its description in RNAcentral is "partial 16S ribosomal RNA". It matches the Rfam family "Bacterial small subunit ribosomal RNA", at positions 524 to 776 of the family's 1533-position model. The record is from RNAcentral.
UACGGAGGGGGCUAGCGUUGUUCGGAAUUACUGGGCGUAAAGCGCGUGUAGGCGGCUUUGUAAGUCAGAGGUGAAAGCCUGGAGCUCAACUCCAGAACUGCCUUUGAAACUACAUCGCUAGAAUCAUGGAGAGGUUAGUGGAAUUCCGAGUGUAGAGGUGAAAUUCGUAGAUAUUCGGAAGAACACCAGUGGCGAAGGCGACUAACUGGACAUGUAUUGACGCUGAGGUGCGAAAGCGUGGGGAGCAAACAGG